UACGGGGGGGGCAAGCGUUGUUCGGAAUUACUGGGCGUAAAGGGCUCGUAGGUGGCCAACUAAGUCAGACGUGAAAUCCCUCGGCUUAACCGGGGAACUGCGUCUGAUACUGGAUGGCUUGAGUUUGGGAGAGGGACGCGGAAUUCCAGGUGUAGCGGUGAAAUGCGUAGAUAUCUGGAGGAACACCGGUGGCGAAGGCGGCAUCCUGGACCGAGAUUGACGCUGAUGCGCGAAAGCCAGGGGAGCAAACGGG
This 253-nucleotide ribosomal RNA is filed under the name uncultured bacterium. RNAcentral describes it as "partial 16S ribosomal RNA". It matches the Rfam family "Bacterial small subunit ribosomal RNA", at positions 524 to 776 of the family's 1533-position model. The record is from RNAcentral.